UACGGAGGGUGCAAGCAUUAAUCGGAUUUAUUGGGCGUAAAGGGCGCGUAGGCGGGGUUAAUAGUCAGAUGUGAAAUCCUGGGGCUCAACCUCAGAACAGCAUUUGAAACUGUAUCCCUAGAGGGUAGGAGGAGAAAACGGAAUUCCACAAGUAGCGGUGAAAUGCGUAGAUAUGUGGAAGAACACCGGUGGCGAAGGCGGUUUUCUAUCUUAUUCCUGACGCUGAGGCGCGAAAGCAAGGGGAUCAAACAGG
Molecule: ribosomal RNA, 253 nt
Filed under: uncultured bacterium
Lineage: Bacteria
Description: partial 16S ribosomal RNA
Rfam family: Bacterial small subunit ribosomal RNA
Source: RNAcentral